Molecule: non-coding RNA, 1125 nt
Organism: Equus caballus (horse)
Lineage: Eukaryota; Metazoa; Chordata; Mammalia; Perissodactyla; Equidae
Source: RefSeq, a predicted model, not a curated record
UGGAGCACGCAGACUUAACCACUUGGCCUCGGGGCCGGCCCUCUGUGUAACUUUUCAGAUGAAGUUUUAAAAACAGAUGGUGCAGUCUCACCAGCUAGUUCCUUGCCAGUAUUUUCAGCAGUCGGCACUGGAGAGUCAAUCAGACGUCACUUUGGAGAAAGAAAAAAUGACAAAGCAAAGUAGAAUCUUCAGCCUUUGCUGCUUCAAACGAGAGGGAAUCUUAGCCACAUUUUGUCAAUAAAGGGAGAUGGUGGAACACUUGGUAACAGUAAGAGACAGAACAGAUCAGACUGAGCAAAUGAGAAAUGGUGAUUGUGCUACCCAGUGAACCUACAUUAAGAGUAGAACUAAUAGAAGCAGAUCUUUCUCUUUCUGCCUUUUUUUUUUUUUUUUUUUGUAAACUAUAUAAAGAUGCCAGGAAGGUUAGAGGAGCUGCGGUGCUUUGGUUACCUCUGCGUUCCCAGGACUUUGUGCAUAACUCAGAAUACAUGUAGGGAUAAAGAUAAUGCUUUACUUCAGCAGAUAUUCCCUGAAUGCAUUCUGUGUGCCGGGUCCUGUGCUGGUCUCUGCUCCGAGGUGAGAAGCAGACAGACAGUCGAUUUCCACUCUGCUUGACAAGCGUGAUGGAUGAUGGGAGGGCAGGACAGCCAGAGUGGCCAGGAGCCCACCCAUCUAGAGUGGAGAGGAUGCUGCUGAUGCUCCCGGUGGUUCUGGAAAAGAGAUGUGAAAAGUGCAGACAACCCGCUGAUCAACGAGAAAUUCCUGAUUGCUCUCUGGCUUGUAAGCAAAGUGCAGGAAACCACAGACUGAUCAGGUAGCUCUGGGAAGAAGUGAUUUGGCAGAGUGCUGAACAGUACCUCGGGCAGCUGCUCUUCCACCUGGGCUCCAUUCCUCCUUGGUUGUGCAUCAGUCACCACAGUGAAACACCGCCACCUCUGGGACUGUCAGAAAACCCACUGCCUCCAUCAGCCUUGAGACUCAGGACUCUGUGGGGACAAUGGUUGACACCCAACUGCCAGCAAAGUCGUUGUACCCACCCAAUGCUACCACAUAAAGGACGUCUGUAGCCCUGGCUUGGAGCUUAGCCACCCAAACGGACUAAGACAGACACAUACAGAGGGAAGA